UGUAGAAUCUCCAAGAAAUGAAAAAAAAUACUAUUUUCUGGAUUUUAUUUUUGAUCACCUUGUGUAAGUAAUACAAGCAAUCAUUUUCAUUGUGUUUGUUACUUACAUGGAAUGAUUUAUAAUUACUACAAAGUCUUAAAAUCUAUCAAGGCUUCAACACUAAAAGAAACUCAAUGUAAAAGGUAGCUUCAAUUUUAGAAUAUGAAUUUCUGAAUAAGUUAGUCUUUAACAAUAUUUUUUAACAAUGUUUUACUUGCAUUCAUUAUCUGUAUAUUCAAUACUGUAUUAUACACUGAAAACCGCAUUUUCUUAUUCAUUAUUCAAUCAAUGUAUUUCAUAUUUUUAAGAUACACUCCACCCUGGUAGACGUUGGGUUACUGCACAAUUCCACACAGAGCCACCAGUUUAUCAGCCUGAUGAGGAGCUCACUGUGGGUAUUGGUGGCUCGGCUACUCUGCGGUGUUGUGUUUCUGAAAACCAGAUUGGAAUAAUAGAGCUGUUUAAGCAACAAAACAAGAAAAAACGUCAGAUUAUAGUUACAGUAUAUAAAACUAAUAAAGAAACAUUUUACAGUGGAUUCCAGGAGACUGAUUACCUGAUAGAAAAAUCUUCAAACUGCUUCAGUGUGACCAUUUUACACACAAUUCAGUCUGAUGAAGCCAUGUACUACUGCGCACUGACGAAACCCAACCCUGUGUUUGCAAAUGGAACUUAUUUAAAAGUUAAAGGUGAUAAAUCUUCAUAGGUGAGCAUGUUACUAGUACUACGGCUACAACAUCAGAGACAUCUGAACCAGCUCUGUAUGAUCAUACAGUGACGAGUGAACCUACAGUGCAGCAGAGAAACAGCUCUAUUACUCCAAACAUUAACACACAAGAGAAAACAGUGCUCGGGUUGGGAACGGCUUUGGGUUUGUGUGUAAUUCUAAUUUUAUGUCUGGCUUGUUUCAUACUAAGAGGAAAAUGUGAUAAACCAGACACUUCAACAGAAAACUCUCCAGCAAACAGGCAGGUGGUUAUUUAUGAAUCUGAAGCCGAAACACAAAAUUAUGCAGCGUUGAAAUUCUCCACGAGGAAUGCCAAAGCUGAAAAAAGAGAAAUGGAUUCAGAUAAAUGUGUGUACUCUAAAGUAAAAUUAAACGUUCUACAUGGUUCACCAUAGGAUAGCAUAACCUCUUUUUUUUUUUAUUAUAGCUGAGUUGCAAAUUUCACUUCCGUGCAGCUUGUAUUAAUUAUUUUUUUUCUUGGAAUAAAUAAAUAAAUACAUUAUUAAAAGACAAUUAAAAUAUAAUUUUAAAUUGUUCACCAAAUACAUACUUACAAAUAUAAU
Molecule: RNA transcript, 1329 nt
Organism: Clarias gariepinus (North African catfish)
Lineage: Eukaryota; Metazoa; Chordata; Actinopteri; Siluriformes; Clariidae
Exons: 5
Source: RefSeq, a predicted model, not a curated record